UGUAAAGAGGGGCUACACCCCAUAAAUGGAAUUACAACCCACCGCCUACGUUCAGCCACCUUUAC
Molecule: transfer RNA, 65 nt
Filed under: Ctenophorus maculosus
Lineage: Eukaryota; Metazoa; Chordata; Lepidosauria; Squamata; Agamidae
Description: tRNA-Tyr
Source: RNAcentral